RNAcentral lists this ribosomal RNA (426 nucleotides) under uncultured bacterium. Its description in RNAcentral is "bacterial SSU rRNA". It matches the Rfam family "Bacterial small subunit ribosomal RNA", at positions 355 to 774 of the family's 1533-position model. The record is from RNAcentral.
UGGGGAAUUUUGGACAAUGGGCGCAAGCCUGAUCCAGCCAUGCCGCGUGCAGGAUGAAGGCCUUCGGGUUGUAACUGCUUUUGUACGGAACGAAAAGGUGCCUUCUAAUAAAGGGCGCUCAUGACGGUACCGUAAGAAUAAGCACCGGCUAACUACGUGCCAGCAGCCGCGGUAAUACGUAGGGUGCGAGCGUUAAUCGGAAUUACUGGGCGUAAAGCGUGCGCAGGCGGUUUUGUAAGACAGAGGUGAAAUCCCCGGGCUCAACCUGGGAACUGCCUUUGUGACUGCAAGGCUGUAGUGCGGCAGAGGGGGAUGGAAUUCCGCGUGUAGCAGUGAAAUGCGUAGGUAUGCGGAGGAACACCGAUGGCGAAGGCAAUCCCCUGGGCCUGCACUGACGCUCAUGCACGAAAGCGUGGGGAGCAAACA